AUUGAACGCUGGCGGCAGGCCUAACACAUGCAAGUCGAGCGGAUGAAGGGAGCUUGCUCCUGGAUUCAGCGGCGGACGGGGGAGUAAUGCCUAGGAAUCUGCCUGGUAGUGGGGGAUAACGUCCGGAAACGGGCGCUAAUACCGCAUACGUCCUGAGGGAGAAAGUGGGGGAUCUUCGGACCUCACGCUAUCAGAUGAGCCUAGGUCGGAUUAGCUAGUUGGUGGGGUAAAGGCCUACCAAGGCGACGAUCCGUAACUGGUCUGAGAGGAUGAUAAGUCACACUGGAACUGAGACACGGUCCAGACUCCUACGGGAGGCAGCAGUGGGGAAUAUUGGACAAUGGGCGAAAGCCUGAUCCAGCCAUGCCGCGUGUGUGAAGAAGGUCUUCGGAUUGUAAAGCACUUUAAGUUGGGAGGAAGGGCAGUAAGUUAAUACCUUGCUGUUUUGACGUUACCAACAGAAUAAGCACCGGCUAACUUCGUG
RNAcentral lists this ribosomal RNA (484 nucleotides) under uncultured bacterium. Its description in RNAcentral is "partial 16S ribosomal RNA". It matches the Rfam family "Bacterial small subunit ribosomal RNA", at positions 30 to 507 of the family's 1533-position model. The record is from RNAcentral.